GCAAUUGUUUGGGAGUAGCACUACCCACCCAGAACUACACCACUGAAGGAUCGGAAGGAAAUAUUUCACCCUGUUUUAUAACCACACAUCAAAUGUAGCACACACCACACAUCUCUUUAGCAAAGAGGGGUAAAGAGGGUAAAGAGAGCGAAGAUCAAUGCUUCUCGUUAUUACGCAAUUGUAAAUAGGACAUUAGGAUUAGAUAGGAAUAGUCAGUAGGAGUUUAGUCUCUGCUCCACCAGGAUGUAGAUAUUUUAAUGUGUUGAAUAUGAAUGUCCGUUGUAAAUAUAUGUAUCGUGUUUGAUUAAUAAAUGUGUUUAAGUACGGUCGUGUAGUUAGUCGUCGUAUAAUCGUAAUGCAGAUAGUUAUGGUCGGAUUCUUGGAGGAAGAAUGGAUUUGCAUCACCCUAUAGGUUCAACCCACCAGGUUUGCCAGAACCUUCAUCCGUUCGUGUUGGGGGAUAGAAAUCCUCAUUACAGUCCACGCAAGGAACCAUAAGCCCAACUACUCUUCCCCAACAUAUGGUCCUUCGAGCCGGAUGGAGAACCAGGUUUGGACAAUCCAAUCGGAACCUACGGAAACAGCAAUGGAAGGAUACUGGACAAAAAAGUGAAGCUUUCGCCAGGUCUUUGUUUCCAUUAACAAUGCAAUUAUGUCGAAAUUUGCAAUGGCCAUCGAAGUUUUACGCUGAAAUCUUCUGGAACGCUAAAAGGAUAGCACAAUGGGCAGCCAUCUUCCUCUGAAUGAUGGUCAAUCCGAACCACAGAUCCAAAUUAGAUGUCAUUUUGGUAUCAUAAUUACCUCGGGAUAGGAAUACUGAACCAGCAUCGCAUACUGUUUAUCCAGGUAAAUAUGCACAUGUUCAGUAUAUGUCUUGCCGAAGUAGAAUUUCAUUGGCACUAACUCUUCCGUUGUCUCUACGCAUUGCACAAUCUGGCACAACACCCCGAGCUGGGUACACCACUAGGAAACUUUCGGUUCUGCAAACUUCACUUAUGGAUUUGGUCAUCAUAUUGGGAGCAUUGUAUAGUUGCAACGCUCAUGGAAACAUUCACCAAUUCACAUCGACCCUACUACGAAUUGAGCUUCAAUGAAAGAGCAUCAUCGUCACGAUCACAAACACCGAGUCGGUGUGAUACACUCCACUUCAGCAGUUUCAACAGACUUCAUCGGUAAUUCAUCACUGGCAGUGUUCACAUCUCGGUACUCGUCAAGUCGACAACUUCUCGGGAUGAUAACAUACACAUCGAGCAAUCGGAAUAUCAGGCAACAUUACCGGCGAAUGCGCCUUUCCCAAAGGUAAGCAGAUUUACAUCGUAUAUGCCUAGUGAAGCUAGGACUAUCUAGCAGAGUACUACAUACGCACUUCUUCUUCUUCAAACUCAACACUCACCACGGAAUCGAUCACCUCGGAGGCUUUGCCAACAAAAACAAUCAGUUCGCUUCAUUUCACUUCGGAUGAAUUCCAUCACAUGCUCACGACGACUGCUGGGACUAGUUUAUCUCCAAGGCUUCAUCUACAAACAUCGACACAUUGCACGGUUUUCCACAAACGGUUUUCGGGCAAAUGUGAUUUCCAAAUCAACAUUCCAAGGAUUACGAGUACAAGGGGUGCUCGUUCCAAUAAGGUUUCCAGACACGCGGCGUAUCUGGCUCCCAUUACCACAAUUACGAGUGCAAAGGGUGCUCGUUACAAAACCUUCGGACACACAGGGUGUUCGAACACACUUCCCAGGAUUACAAGGGCACACGGAGUGUCUGUAUCCCACGACUAUGGAUUAUGAGUACAAAGGGUGCUUGUUCAACGGUCCUUGGACACAUACGGUGUCCAACCACAACUUCCAAGGUUAACGGUCACAAAGGGUGAUCAACCAAUACACCACCAAACAAACGGUUCACAGGAUUACGAGUACACGGGUACUCGUGUCACGGUUUUGACACACUGGGUGUCUACACUCAACUUUAAAGGGCUAGGAGUGCACAGGGUACUCGCUACGUGGUUACGACAACGAGAUGUCGAAUGUCAACUCCCAAUAAUGGAAUACGAGCACACUGGGUGUUCGAAUAGGAUUUAAUACGACUGGAAUGGCCAAGUUACAACAACGAAUAUCGGGCACGACGAACAAACACGGGGAGUGCGUUUAUUGUGGACAGCGGUAUGACACAACAGCAAUUCUAUCCAAGCACCAACACCAACGGCAAGGGUUUCGGCGGAGAUGCAAUACAUAUUUGGUCAGGUUAGUGAUAUGGCAGUAUAUGUCUGCCGAAGCUGGACUCUCUUUUGGUAUACUACACACCAUCUCUCACUUGUCAGUAUAUGCGACGGAGUUCGACGGAGGCAAUCGGCACUGCUACCGUCUGUGGAAAACGGGGGAAAGCCUAAAAACAGCGAGCAGUAACAGGUACAACAUUGCUGCCACGCGCGACUCCACAUCCAAUACCGAACGGUGGAUUGUUUCGUAGCUCAAAUCUCAUCUCUAGCGAUUGUGCAUCAGUACAAGCUAUACUGAUACGUACAUCAGUUAUAUACCAGCAUGUGUGAAACAAUUCGGUAGGCUUGGUUCGGAUCACAGAGACGCAGUCGGGUUAGGAGCGCAGAGAAAUUGAUCAUCUCCAGCGUAGAAAUGGUAAACACUAGGUGGUACAAUAGUAUAGGUAGCUGAGGUAGCUUUAACCGAGAGAAAGAUAGGUAGAUGUGUAGCUCCGUAACUCAGCACAAACAAUUCAUUAACUUAUUUGAUCGAGCGAAUGUAAACAAACUCAGUAGUGGCUGAUUUUGAACGGAAAAAUUGAUCACCAUUGGAAGGCGCGCAAUUAGUUCCACGAGUAAUGGGUUUUAAGCAAUCGUAUAUAGGACCGGAUCAUUUUGCAGCACUGGGCUGUAAGCUUUCAAUGCGUCCAAACCGGAUUCAAAACUUCGAAAGUAGGUAGCAGGGUUACCAUGACGUCCGGAUUGAUAUGCUACAUGGUAUUCAAAAAUUGUCAAUCAAGGCUUAUCAGACUAAUACAGAACAAUUGCUCGAAUGGUUUACCCAACUUUGGAACGGUUUCGAAAUCAAAUUAACACCGUUAUUUGAAGGCAGGCUUCCAAUGGAGGUACGUUAGUUUAGAAGCAUAGCAGCUUGGUAUCCAGUAUUCCACGGUGGGUGAGGGCAAUUAAGGUAUGAAUUCAGAAAUUGAAACAAUUUCUGGGUGGGUGAGGAUGUUUGGGAGUAGCACUACCCACCCAGAACUACACCACUGAAGGAUCGGAAGGAAAUAUUUCACCCUGUUUUAUAACCACACAUCAAAUGUAGCACACACCACACAUCUCUUUAGCAAAGAGGGGUAAAGAGGGUAAAGAGAGCGAAGAUCAAUGCUUCUCGUUAUUACGCAAUUGUAAAUAGGACAUUAGGAUUAGAUAGGAAUAGUCAGUAGGAGUUUAGUCUCUGCUCCACCAGGAUGUAGAUAUUUUAAUGUGUUGAAUAUGAAUGUCCGUUGUAAAUAUAUGUAUCGUGUUUGAUUAAUAAAUGUGUUUAAGUACGGUCGUGUA
Molecule: long non-coding RNA, 3532 nt
Organism: Aedes aegypti (yellow fever mosquito)
Lineage: Eukaryota; Metazoa; Arthropoda; Insecta; Diptera; Culicidae
Exons: 2
Source: RefSeq, a predicted model, not a curated record